CCCCUAGUAACGGCGAGUGAAGCGGGAAGAGCCCAGCGUCGAACUUCCGCGCCUGUGAGGGUGCGGCGGAAUGUGACGUGCGGGAGUGCUCUAUUCCCCAUGCGUUGCGAGACUCAAAGUCCUUCUGAUUCAGGCCUUCUCCCAUCGAGGGUGUCAGGCCCGUGUCGGGUCUCGCGCGUGUGGGACACGGGUGCUCUUCAGAGUCGGGUUGUUUGGGAAUGCAGCCCUAAGUGGGUGGUAAACUCCAUCUAAGGCUAAAUAUUCGGACGAGACCGAUAGCGAACAAGUACCGUGAGGGAAAGUUGAAAAGCACUUUGAAGAGAGAGUUCAACAGUACGUGAAACCGUCGAGAGGUAAACGGUGGAGGCGUCAGAGGCGCCCGUCGCGAUUCAGCUGCCCCCGCUGGUGACUUGGUGUUUGGCGGGACUCUUGUGGGCCCCCGGCGUUAAGUUCGCGGGUGGGAGCGGCGCAUUUCGCGCGGGUGCAGUCACGACCGAUUGCCCGGGGGUGUUGGAACCGGUACCGGUGGGAGACAUUUGUCUUUUUCAGGUUUGCCGGUCGGCGGCCUUCUGGGCGAUCGCGGCAGUGCGGAUCGCUGGCUCGUUAGGGCGACUGCGCUCUGGUCGACGUGCGUUGUCCUGGGGCUCGACUGCUUGCAGUGGUGUCUCGGCGGCGUCGGAGGCUAGGGUCUCGGUCUUGGCGAUCCCCGUCUGUGGCGGUACGGACGUCCUUUACCGACCCGUCUUGAAACACGGACCAAGGAGUCUAACAUGUGUGCGAGUCUCGAGGGAGUUAAAACCCGCAGGCGUAAUGAAAGUGAUCAGGUGGGAAGCCUCCUUAUUAUGGGGGGCCGCACCGCCGUCCCGUCCGUGAGGCUUGUCUUCAGGGCGGAGAAGGAGCAUAUACGUUGGGACCCGAAAGAUGGUGAACUAUGCCUGAACAGGAUGAAGCCAGGGGAAACCCUGGUGGAGGUCCGCAGCGAUUCUGACGUGCAAAUCGAUCGUCUGAUUUGGGUAUACGGGCGA
This 1025-nucleotide ribosomal RNA is filed under the name Claudrilus corderoi. Its description in RNAcentral is "partial 28S ribosomal RNA". It matches the Rfam family "Eukaryotic large subunit ribosomal RNA", at positions 77 to 926 of the family's 3401-position model. Lineage: Eukaryota; Metazoa; Annelida; Polychaeta; Protodrilidae. The record is from RNAcentral.